RNAcentral lists this ribosomal RNA (438 nucleotides) under uncultured bacterium. RNAcentral's name for it is "partial 16S ribosomal RNA". It matches the Rfam family "Bacterial small subunit ribosomal RNA", at positions 339 to 795 of the family's 1533-position model. The record is from RNAcentral.
CUACGGGGUGCUGCAGUGAGGAAUAUUGCACAAUGGGGGAACCCUGAUGCAGCAACGCCGCGUGGAGGAUGACGCAUUUCGGUGUGUAAACUCCUUUUAUAUGUCAAGAAAAUGACGGUAGCAUAUGAAUAAGCACCGGCUAACUCCGUGCCAGCAGCCGCGGUAAUACGGAGGGUGCAAGCGUUACUCGGAAUCACUGGGCGUAAAGGACGCGUAGGCGGGUUGGAAAGUCAGGUGUGAAAUCCUAUGGCUCAACCAUAGAACUGCACUUGAAACUUCUAACCUAGAGUAUGGGAGGGGAAGAUGGAAUUAGUGGUGUAGGGGUAAAAUCCGUAGAUAUCACUAGGAAUACCAAAAGCGAAGGCGAUCUUCUGGAACAAUACUGACGCUAAGGCGUGAAAGCGUGGGGAGCAAACAGGAUUAGAUACCCUUGUAGUC